This 301-nucleotide ribosomal RNA is filed under the name uncultured bacterium. RNAcentral describes it as "partial 16S ribosomal RNA". It matches the Rfam family "Bacterial small subunit ribosomal RNA", at positions 509 to 808 of the family's 1533-position model. The record is from RNAcentral.
CAGUCGCCGCGGGAAAACGAAGGGUGCAAGCGUUAAUCGGAAUUACUGGGCGUAAAGCGUGCGUAGGUGGUGGUUUAAGUCCGUUGUGAAAGCCCUGGGCUCAACCUGGGAAUUGCAGUGGAUACUGGGUCACUAGAGUGUGGUAGAGGAUAGUGGAAUUUCCGGUGUAGCAGUGAAAUGCGUAGAGAUCGGAAGGAACAUCUGUGGCGAAGGCGACUAUCUGGGCCAACACUGACACUGAGGCACGAAAGCGUGGGGAGCAAACAGGAUUAGAUACCCGGGUAGUCCCUGUCUCUAUACA